GUGUGAUUUUUGUUCUUUAGUAGAAGGAUAACAUGACAUAGCAGGAAUAAUACUGCCUUUUCUUUCUGGCAUGGAUCAAGAGAAAAGAAAAUACAAGAAAACAGACAGAAGCAAGGCAAGGUACUUCUAUGGAAGGGUGAGCCCUCACAGAUGGAGCAAUGGGGCGCGCACACCUGAACAAGGGAGGGGAAGGAGUUCUUAUCCCUGAUGCAUGUGACCCCUGCUGCUGUGUCCUUCCCCUAUUGGCUAAGGCUUCUGACAGCUUUGGAGAUUGUGACAUUGGAAUAAAGGAAAAACGUACAGGACUCAUGAAGCGCUGAAAUGUUCACAAAUAUCAAGCAAAAGUCAAUGAAAUUUAUUUUGAGCUAUUUACAUCAUUUAAUAAUUGAGCAAGGUAUACUCCUAUGAACAAAAUUUGGAGCAUGUUUGUCUCUCUCUGCCUGGCGUCUUCAGAAUUUGGAAACUAGUUAGUCAUGGAAAUUUAUUUUGAGCUAUUUACAGCAUUUAAUAAUUGAGCAAGGUAUACUCCUAUGAACAAAAUUUGGAGCAUGUUUGUCUCUCUCUGUCUGCCUGGCAUCUACAGAAUUUGGAAACUAGUUGUGCUGUACUGCAUGAGAAUGCCUGCAUUUAGUAUGCGAACUGGAAUUGGCAAAGGACGAUGGCUGCUCUCCCGCUAACUUUAAAUAAGUCAUGUCACAAAUUGCAUUCGUUCCCAGAUUUCCUAAACUUUCCAGAGAAAAUGGUCUUCUCCCUGGCUCAGCAAGAAGAUGAACUUUAAACACUGAGAAACUGGUCAUCUCCCUGGCUCAACCAGAAGAUGAACUUUAAACACUACUCUCAAUGACUUGAUGUUCCCAUCACUACUCCUGUCAUAAAGGGAGGGGACUCAGAUAUUGAGAAUUUUAUGAUAGUGUGAACUGUCUGGUAUGUCAUUUAAGUAAGCCCGUUGCUGAAAUAUUUUCCAUGUUAUUAGAAAGAGCUGAAGAGAGGGAUUGAGAUGGCUUCUUUAUUUUUUGUCUUUUGGGAAUUAAAGGAACCUGGUUCAACAAGGGCCUACACCUAAGUCUCUUGUUGUACCAGAGUACAAUUUAGGACUGCUCCUGAGGAAGGAAUUAGCUAGAAAUCUAGAGAGUAAGGGUAACAGAUUUACAUAGAAUAACAGCCUCAGUAUUUUUGGUUCCUCUCCAGUAAAGAUCACAAAGAAUAUUGCUAAAUCGCUAAAACACCUUUGCAAUAACGUAAGGGCUUACAACUAUAUACCAAUGUAGCUCAGUUACUAAACUGGAGUAAACUAAUUUCUCUUGUGUAGAAAAAUUGGUUGGCUGUGGUUUUAUAGCAGAUCUGCAAUUAUUAAUAGUUAUGCCAAUAAUCGUUUAACAGUGCAUAUGUUAAUAUAUAUGGAAAGACAAUGUGUAUAGACAGAUGUGUAAAAUUGAAAAAUAAACAUAUAACAAGAGAGAAACAUCUAUCGAACAGACAAUAUACAUACACAUCAAACACAACAGCAGUUUUAGUGACCAUAAUAUUUAUUUCUCAUUUUUACAUUGCUUACUUUAGUGACAACUGAAAAUGACAGUUGGCAAUGCAGCUAACAGUUUCAAUAAAAGUAUAAAACAAAAGACUGUGUACAAAGCACCUGUCUUUCCGCUUUUGUAAUCUUCCGUUGGAAAAAAUUUACACACCUAAGUAACCAUCUGUUUUCUUCAAGAAAAAAUCAUUCUUAUUUCUCUCUCUCAUCUUGAAAACAGCUGUCAGCCAGGAGGGCAGAGCUGAAAUUUAUUGCCACAUCACAUGAAGCAUAGAACAGACUCCACUACUCCUUGAGAUUCAAAACUUUGCCUCUCACAAAGUUACCUUUUAUUUUCCUCUUGUUUGUCACUCAUCUCCCCUAGUGUGCUCUUUUUAUUUCUUUUACUAUUAAUAAUAAAAUCUGUGGAUGACUGUAUUAU
RNAcentral lists this long non-coding RNA (1949 nucleotides) under Homo sapiens (human). RNAcentral's name for it is "HSALNT0403327". Lineage: Eukaryota; Metazoa; Chordata; Mammalia; Primates; Hominidae. The record is from RNAcentral.